This 436-nucleotide ribosomal RNA is filed under the name uncultured bacterium. RNAcentral's name for it is "bacterial SSU rRNA". It matches the Rfam family "Bacterial small subunit ribosomal RNA", at positions 28 to 507 of the family's 1533-position model. The record is from RNAcentral.
GAUGAACGCUGGCGGUAUGCCUAACACAUGCAAGUCGUACGAGAGUUUUUAACUCUAGUGGCGGACGGGUGAGUAACACGUGAGAAUUUGCCUUUAGAGGGGGAUAACAAUUGGAAACGAAUGCUAAUACCCCAUAUGCUUUUGAGUGAAAUGGAUUUUAUCCGCCUAGAGAGAAGCUCGCGGCUGAUUAGCUUGUUGGUAAGGUAAGAGCUUACCAAGGCGACGAUCGGUAGCUGGUCUGAGAGGAUGAUCAGCCACACUGGAACUGAGACACGGUCCAGACUCCUACGGGAGGCAGCAGUGGGGAAUAUUGGACAAUGGGCGCAAGCCUGAUCCAGCAAUUCCGCGUGGGUGAAGAAGGUCUUCGGAUUGUAAAGCCCUUUCGUUGGGGACGAUGAUGACGGUACCCAAAGAAGAAGCCCCGGCUAACUUCGUG